GUUAAGUGCGCUCUCAGGGGUGAUCUGUGCAUCUGCGUGUGGGCGGCGAGUUAGUGUGAAAGCCAGGCUGCAGACAGGAAGUAAUGGGGGAGGAUCCAAGGAGGGGCCAGUGUCUGCAGAGGUGCUGCCACCUGAACCACACCUGGAAGGCUGGAGGAGGUGUGGCUUCGCCGAGAGAGAAGUAGGGCAAGUGCUCAAAGCCGAGGGAAAGGUCUUACCAGCAGCGCCAAGUUGCCAAAACUCAUGAAGUCAAGGGCUAACACCUUGCAAGAAAUGUGCAGGAGUAUCUGGAAGAGUGGGUGCUGGCUGUAACACGGAGGAGUUAUGGGCCCAGUGGUUGCAGCCUGGCUGUGUUGCAGCCGGUCCUUGGUAAUAAGGAAGACGCGCAGCCUACAGAAAGUGUUCACAGUUGGCUUGCUCCCUCAGUGACUCUGCCUUUCCUGACUGGCACGCAGGAGUGUCUGCUGAGCUCCUUUAGAAACACAGGCACACGGAAAACUUGGCCUCUGUGUCCCAGAAGCUUACAAGCUCUUUGCUGAGCUAGGACAAAGCACAUCCCAUCCUCCAGAGUAAGACCUCCCAUGAUAAAUGCUGUUGUGAAUUAUCCUCAGAAGAAAAUCCUGAUGCAGUUCUUCAUCAGUUAUCUUAUCUUCAGGAAGGGGAAUUGAUGCACUGGGCUGUGCGAGGCAGGCUGCGUUGACCUCACUCUGAAACCUGGCCAGUGGGCAAUCCCUUUACUUUCACUCCCUCUCUGAUAAUCUUUAGGUUUUCCCCUGCGCAUACCUGAGGUUGUUUUGUUGUUUUUGGUUGUUCAUUUUAUUAAUUCCUGAGUUACUGAUUGGUAGCACAGGUUUUGCCUUUCCUUGGAAGGGAAAAAAAAUACUAUUUCAUGUAAGCUCUGGAUUUCAUGGAC
Chinchilla lanigera (long-tailed chinchilla) is the source of this 913-nucleotide long non-coding RNA. RefSeq lists it as uncharacterized. The transcript is spliced from 3 exons. Lineage: Eukaryota; Metazoa; Chordata; Mammalia; Rodentia; Chinchillidae. The record is from RefSeq and is a predicted model, not a curated record.